UAAGGAAUAUUCCACAAUGGACGCAAGUCUGAUGGAGCGACGCCGCGUGAGCGAAGAAGCCCUUCGGGGUGUAAAGCUCUUUUCCCAGAGAUGAUAAUGACAGUACCUGGGGAAUAAGCCUCGGCUAACUACGUGCCAGCAGCCGCGGUAAUACGUAGGAGGCAAGCGUUGUCCGGAAUUACUGGGCGUAAAGAGCGUGUAGGCGGUAGAGUAAGUCUGUAGUGAAAGCGCAUGGCUCAACUGUGCGAGGUCUAUGGAAACUGCUCAACUGGAGGAAGGUAGAGGAAGGUGGAAUUCCCGGUGUAGUGGUGAAAUGCGUAGAUAUCGGGAGGAACACCAGCGGCGAAGGCGGCCUUCUGGGCCUAUCCUGACGCUGAGACGCGAAGGCCAGGGUAGCGAACGG
Molecule: ribosomal RNA, 403 nt
Filed under: uncultured bacterium
Lineage: Bacteria
Description: bacterial SSU rRNA
Rfam family: Bacterial small subunit ribosomal RNA
Source: RNAcentral